This is a non-coding RNA of Delphinapterus leucas (beluga whale), 2398 nucleotides long. Lineage: Eukaryota; Metazoa; Chordata; Mammalia; Artiodactyla; Monodontidae. The record is from RefSeq and is a predicted model, not a curated record.
GGAGAGCUGGAGACUCCGAGGCGCUGAGCGCCGCGGCCGCCCGGGCAGAGCCGGCGCGCAGCGUGUAGAGCGAGCGCGGCGGGCGCGCUUCCCGGGCAGCCCCACGCCCCUGCCUUGCGCGCUGCCCGCGCCAUGAAGCACAUCCCGGUUCUCGAGGACGGGCCGUGGAAGACCGUGUGUGUGAAGGAGCUGAACGGCCUCAAGAAGCUCAAGAGGAAAGGCAAGGAGCCGGCGCGGCGCGCGAACGGCUAUAAAACUUUCCGAUUGGACUUGGAAGCGCCCGAGCACGGCGCCGCCGCCACCGACGGGCUGCGGGACAGGACCCAGCGGCUGCAGCCGGUCCCGGCCCCGGUGCCAGCCCGGGUGGCGCCGGCCGUUCCCUCAGGUGGGGGCGCGGACACGGCCGGGGAGCGCGGGGGCGCCCGGGCUCCGGAGGUCUUGGACGCGCGGAAACGCGGCUUCGCCCUGGGCGCAGUGGGGCCGGGACUCCCCACGCCGCCGCCACCACCGCCGCCUCCAGCGCCCCAGGGCCAGGUACCUGGGGGUCCCGAGGCACAGCCUUUCCGGGAGCCCGGCCUACGUCCCCGCAUCUUGCUGUGCGCACCGCCAGCACGCCCCACGCCGUCGGCGGCCCCUGCUCCCCCGGAGCCCUCAGUGCGCCCGGCCCCCCCCACGCGCCCUGGGGAAAGUUCUUACUCGUCAAUUUCACACGUAAUUUACAAUAACCACCCGGAUUCCUCCGCGUCGCCUAGGAAACGGCCAGGCGAAGCUACCGCCGCCUCCUCCGAGAUCAAAGCCCUGCAGCAGACCCGGAGGCUCCUGGCGAACGCCAGGGAGCGGACGAGGGUGCACACCAUCAGCGCAGCCUUCGAGGCGCUCAGGAAGCAGGUGCCAUGUUACUCAUAUGGGCAGAAGCUGUCCAAGCUGGCCAUCCUGAGGAUCGCCUGUAACUACAUCCUGUCCCUGGCGCGGCUGGCCGACCUCGACUACAGCGCCGACCAUAGCAACCUCAGCUUCUCCGAGUGUGUGCAGCGCUGCACCCGCACCCUGCAGGCCGAGGGCCGUGCCAAGAAACGCAAGGGGCCUGCGUAGCUGGGUGGCCUUGCUCAAGUGUCGUAUCCGGGAGAUGCCAGCCUGAUUGCCCACCUAUCCAGGGGUCAGUGGCACAAAGGAUGUGCAACUGUUUUGUGAACUCUGUCCUCCCUCCCGUGUCUGCUGCCUGAGAAGCUGGUCCCCGUGGAGCCAAAGGAGUGACCGGCCAUGGGCUUGUCCAAGGACGCUGCUGUGGGCCCUCUUUCCAGUCAAGCUUGAGGAGAAGGUGAGCUCGCCAAGUCCAGCCUUGUCGUCCUCUCUAAGUUGCCACCGGAUGCUCAGACCGCCACCUCUCAGGACAGAAGCUUGCCUGCUCCCCUCUCGCCCUCUCCCCCGCCCCACCCCGCAACCACUCCACAGUGACUUUGCACUUUGCUCUCUGCCUGGUGGGACGGGGAGAGCAAAGCCUUCCCCUUGCCCGGGCCUGAGGCCCACCGUCUGGCUGCAGAAAUUCAUUGCCAAAGAUUCGACAGAGACACUGAACAAAAUGGGGUGAGAAGACCCCAUAGUGAAAAGCCACACUGUUGCUCUGUGAUGUUUACUCCUCCUGUUGCCCGGGUCCCAUCUCACGCCAAAGACGAGUCAGCAGUUCCACUAGGAACUCGUGGAAAGGAUGGACGUUUGGUGACUGUUGGAAGCGCUUUGACCCUCUGACCCGGAACUCCCUUUCUACAGCUGGGCCCCGAGCUGGCUGGACGCAGAUAAGCCUUCUGUCUUAUCUGUGAUAGGGAGGCUGUGACAGGGAGGCUGGGGUCGCCUGUGGGGUGAGAUCUGAGAUCCUGGCCCCCCUCUCCUUCCCUCUGGCUGCCCAGGCCUCUGACCCUGAUUUUCCCAUGUUCCCUGGGCCCAGGCUCCUUCUUGGGCCCUAAGCAUCGUGAGAAGUGAAUGGGAGGGUGGGGGGCAAUACUGACCACCCGUACCUCACCCCAGGGACUUGCCCCAAGCUGACCCCCAGCCGGUCCAGCCAGCCACUCCUUGCCAGGGGCCCGCCCUCCUGACUGGGCACACAAGAUGGCGCCCUGCCUGGGGGCUGGCGGGCUGUGAUGGUUGUGCAGGGGGGCAGGGGGAGGAAGGGACCAGGGGAAUGGGCCAGUAUGUGGGGAGGCGGGCAUGUUCAAAGUCAAGGCCUGUUCCUUCCUUGUGCACAAGGCCAAAGCUGUUCACGUCUGUGCUCAACCAUCUGCUUCAAAUUGAAGUAAAAGCCCCAACGUGUAAAGAAAACACUUGCUUGUGUUGAUGGACUCUGUGGGCUACCAGGACUUUGGCCGGUCAGUUGGAGAGGGUUGUGGGGGGAGGGAGAGGUUGA